This 254-nucleotide ribosomal RNA is filed under the name uncultured bacterium. RNAcentral's name for it is "partial 16S ribosomal RNA". It matches the Rfam family "Bacterial small subunit ribosomal RNA", at positions 524 to 776 of the family's 1533-position model. The record is from RNAcentral.
UACGUAGGGGGCAAGCGUUAUCCAGAUUUACUGGGCGUAAAGCGCGUGUAGGCGGCUGGUUAGGCGUGAUGUGAAAUCUUCCGGCUCAACCGGAAAACUGCAUUGCGAACCGGCCUGGCUAGAGUGCAGGAGAGGGAAGCGGAAUUCCAGGUGUAGCGGUGAAAUGCGUAGAUAUCGGGAAGAACACCCGUGGCGAAGGCGGCUCUCUGGGACGGUACUGACGCUGAGACGCGAAAGCGUGGGGAGCGAACAGG